CCUAAAACAAGUUUAGGAGAGCAGCCUGGGGGGCUGUGUCUGGUGUUUCUGGUCUAUUAACUGGUUUUGUCUUGACUGUGCUUGAACAUGCAUGUUUGGUUACAUUUUAAAAGGAAGACUUUUCUUUUUUAAAAUCAAGGAUACAUUUCUAUUAAAGCCUACUUAUUGGCAGCUUUAGCCAAUCUAGAGUCUGAAUCUGAACUGAAUCAUUUUCCUGAUGGAGGAAAGACGACGACCGUCUGGUUGAGUUUUCCAACAAUCAACUUUAUGUGUCACUGCAGGAAACACAGAUUCAAAUGCAGCAAAGAAACCCAAAAAUAAACCCGACCCUCUUUCAUGUUUCAUAUUUUCUGUCAGCUUCAACUUUCUUCCGGCCAACAUAAAGCUGAUGUAGCUCUACGUUUAUCCCAUCUAUCUCCAGUAUCUUCUGCCAAAUAAAAUGUAAGGCUUGUCAGCAUGAA
Xiphophorus couchianus (Monterrey platyfish) is the source of this 461-nucleotide long non-coding RNA. RefSeq lists it as uncharacterized. NCBI's taxonomy places the organism in Eukaryota, Metazoa, Chordata, Actinopteri, Cyprinodontiformes, Poeciliidae. The record is from RefSeq and is a predicted model, not a curated record. The transcript has 2 exons.